AUACGUAGGGUGCGAGCGUUGUCCGGAAUUACUGGGCGUAAAGAGCUCGUAGGUGGUUUGUUGCGUCGUCUGUGAAAUUCCGGGGCUUAACUUCGGGGUGGCAGGCGAUACGGGCAUAACUAGAGUGCUGUAGGGGAGACUGGAAUUCCUGGUGUAGCGGUGGAAUGCGCAGAUAUCAGGAGGAACACCGAUGGCGAAGGCAGGUCUCUGGGCAGUAACUGACGCUGAGGAGCGAAAGCAUGGGGAGCGAACAGGAUUAGAUACCCUGGUAGUCCAUGCUGUAAACGGUGGGCGUUAGGUGUGGGGACCGGUUUGGUUUCUGUGCCGUAGCUAACGCAUUAAGCGCCCCGCCUGGGGAGUACGGCCGCAAGGCUAAA
Molecule: ribosomal RNA, 377 nt
Filed under: uncultured bacterium
Lineage: Bacteria
Description: bacterial SSU rRNA
Rfam family: Bacterial small subunit ribosomal RNA
Source: RNAcentral